GCACUCUGUGGCUUCCGGGGCUGGGCUAGAAAAGCAUUCUGUAGCUUCUGUGUGGUCUCCUGGAUGGUACACGGGGCAGGCCGGCCGCCACACUGCGGGGACACUCAGACAGCCCCCGUGAAGGCCCACGUGGGGAGAAACUGAUGACCCCGCCAGCCACCAGCACCAACUUAUUUGCCAGUCAUGUGGGUUGGCCACGUGGAAGUGGAUCCUCCAGCCCCUGUCAGACCCUCCCUGACGUCCACCUGCAGUCCCCUGAGAAACCCCAAGGCAGAAGUGCCCAGCCACGCUGCUCCUGCAUUCCCGACCACAGAAACUGUGAGAAAUACGAAGUGAUUAUUGCCGCUUUACGCCGCUAAGCUUCAGGGUAAUUUGUUACACAACACUAAAUAACUAAUACGGCUGAUUACUAAUUACGGUUGAUUACGUUUCUCCUAAGCUUCUAAGACGGCUGCCCAGGAUCCUAGCCUCCAGGUUACUAAUGCCUCAUGGGAUGCCGUCCCCUUGAGUGUGGACUGGACACAGUGACUUGCUUCUGAUAAAAGAACAAGGCACACCUGAUGGGGUGUCACUCUGAGCUCAUGUUUCUAGAAGACUCUGGCUUCCAUUAUGCUCGCCUCUCUUGCUCCCUCCCUGGCUCUGAGGAAAGCCAGCUGCCAUGUCGUGAGCUGCCCUGUGGAGAAGCCCAUGUAGCCAAGACCAGAUGGACGUCCCCAGCCAACAGCCCGUGAGGAACCAAGACCAAGAGUCCAGCAACCUGUGAGGGGCAGAAUCUCGCCGGCAGCCACGCAGGUGUACAAGAACCCCCCAGGCUCCGGUUCCCAAGGAGCCCUCCUGGCACGGAGGGGAGCCACAGAGGGACCAGACUGCUCGGGCAGCACCGGCCAGAGAGCCGACCUGUAGACUGAGGAAGAGGCUCUUGGGCGCUGGCACAUGGUGGGUGCUUGAUGCAACCCUGACCCUGCAGCUGUCGGGGUUCUUGGCCUCAUUAGCUUCAUGGCAGCCACUGUUGUCACGACAUCCUCAGGGCACUGCCCGGAUCUGGGAGGACCUCGGGAGGAUGCUGCUCUUCAGAGAUGGGAAGCUUCGGUUUGUGCAGUCAGCCCUGCUUUGCUGGGGGCUUCCUGAAGGAACGUUCCCUGGAUCUGGUCACCCCUCGUCGGGUGAGGCUGAGCCUGAGCUCUGCAUGGCACCCUGCCCGGAACAGCAACAGCUCGCUCAACUUUCUGGAAGUCUCCCGCUCUCCCUCUGCGUGCCGAGAGGCUCUGCCUUGCUUGGGUGUUUAUUUCUUGCUCUACGAAGUGAUGAUUUAAUUCUUGCCUGGGAUAUCAUUCAGCCCAAGUUCGUGCUGAAGUGAAGCAUAUUUCAGCACCCACCAAUUUCCAUAUAGAUAAAAAAAGAAAAAAAACCCAAGAAAGAAGGGAAACAACCUCUACCAGCAUCUUUGCAAACUAUGCAUUUGAAACCUGUUUCUUGAAGAUGGAUUGCUCCAUCAGGCUGCUAAGAGGCUUUUCUUGACUUGUCAACAGUUUUAUACCCCCACAAACAUGCGUGGCUAUAAAUUAUUCAUUGCCCAGUUAGUGGUUAAAAAAAAAAAAAAAAGGAUGCCUGGGACCGAGGUACAUUCUUAAUUCUCCCUCUGCUUUUCAGAUCCAACUUGUUUUUUUCCUUCCUGCUGCUGGAAAGUAGAAAUAACUGCAAAUCUCUUGACUGGGAGGUUCAGGGCUCUGGCGUAAUGAGAAGGUCCUGCUGAGCCCUGUGUGAGCUCUGCUGGGAGGGUGGGGUAGUCAUCUGUGGGACCCUGGGGUUCUCAAAUACAUGCGGAGGUGAGAAAUAGAGGUGCUGUGGGCUUUCCUCCUCCUCCUCCUCAUCUUCUUCUUCUUCUUCUUCUUCUUUUUUUUUUUUUUUUUCCUGUUGGCAGGAACUCCAGGGUUUUCAAAAAAGCAGAGAGGAGACUUGAUUCUAUUCUAGACCCAGCCAUUUCAGAGACCAUGGCUGGACAGGAUCUCAGCCCUCCCAUGCUCACCGGCUUCCACCCUCCUUGGGUCCCUCCCAAGGUGGGGGCCCCUGUCAGGAGAUAGCACGUUUCUUGUCCUUCUCCUUGUGCCCACCCUCUCUAUGUGCCCAGCAUACCCUUGGGUCUCCCCUCCGCACCCCAAGUGGCCUCCUCCUCCAGCAGGAUUCUCAAGUCUACCAGCACCCAUGGGACGUGGAUAGAGGUGGGGGGGGGGCUAUGCUUCAGGGUUUGGGGCCUGUAUUGGCCAUGACAAAGCUGCCCAAAGUGGAUGCUUAAAACAACAGAAGUCCUUUCUCUUACAGUCCUGGAGGCCAGGAGUCAGAAAUGAAGCUGCCUGCAGGGCCGUGCUCCGUCCAGCCUCUGCCUCUCCCUCUCCCACCAGGAACCCCAGUCACAUGGGAUGAUGGGCCUACGCUACUCUUCAUCUUAAUGUCACCUGUUACCGCCGCAAAGACCCAUUGCAAUCCGAAGGGUCCGAAGAGGGAAGAGCCUCCAGCGAUCGGGCCCGGAGCAGAAAUCAGAAGAGUCAAAAGGCCAAAGAGUUGGCAACCUACUGAGAGCUUCUCGUAUAACAUUCUGGCACGUUGUUAUCCCGAAAGACUGUCUUUUGCGCCAGUUCGGAGGCACAGUAUCAAAGGCCCCUUCUCCAUCUCUGGUUGUGGAUGGGCCAGACUCUGGUGUGGGCCUGAAACCUUGUCCCUUCAUAUGAGCAUAGAGAGAAAAUUCAGUUGAUGGUAGGACUGACCCACCUUGAAUGGGAACCAGAUGUCCCUGGAGAAUAACUGCCUUGGAUACUGUCUAGUGGCCUGGUUUGAGAGCCCGGUGUCCACCUGCCACUGGUAGAAGGACAUGUGGCUUCUUGAGUGGCCCCCUGCUCCACCUUGACCCCCGCUUCCUCCCCCUUACUCACGUUGUCCCCGGGCACUAGGGACGUUGCUGGCAGUUUCUCUGGGUGGACUCUGGGAAGGCCUCUGGGGUCCCCUGCUCAGUCUGGAGAGAGCGGUUGCAUGCUGGUGUCUUGCUGAGCAAGCCAGUGUCACGUGGGGAGUGACGAUGGGACUGGACAUGGGGUUGUUUUCCGCCAGCCCUACUCCCUAAUGUGGGGAGAAGGAGUCAUGAUUUCAUUUCCAAAUAUUUUGUAUGUGGAACGCUGAAGAAGAGACAUGGCUGGGUGUUUGGGCUUUCAGAGACUUCCAGAUGCUGUGUCUGCAAACCCCAGGGGACAUUAGGUUUUGUCGAGGCCAUCUGGUGCCCAAGUUCUGUCACCUCUUACCAGCCCAGCUAUGGCGAAGGGGAAGGCUCCAUUCUGCAGACAGCAGACCAAAAAGGCAGGGGCCCAAUGGUCCUGACUCAUCUCGUUGGAUGUGGCUGUUAUUUCGGGGUGACCCACCUUUGAUUCAAUUGGAGUUUAAGUCAGAUUAAGCAGCUUUUACUCGGAGCUGCGGGAGCUCCUCUGAGACCGGCCCCAACCCUUCACGUGUGGCAGUGAGGCAGUGAGGCUGUUUGGAGCACAGGAGCUCGGCGGGAGCUCUUGGCCCAUGAUGGCUGACGGAGACAGAAACUAAGUGCCAAGCACCCCACGUCCAAUAUUUCAUGUACUUCUCACGCACCCAUUGCACAGGUGAGGGGACCCUGGCUCCAAGAGACCAAGUGAUCUACCUGGGUCACCUGCCUAGUAGGUGGCAGAGUCUCCCAGGCCCAGAGUUCCUGAAUGGGAGGAUGUCUUCUUCAGGCGGCUAGCUUCCCCUUCCCUCUGAUCGCAUAGUGCGUGGUGGUGGCCGAGUCCAGAUGCUCUCCGGGCAAAUGAGGUUCCUUCCCAGGGCUGAGGAUCUGAGUAGAAGCCUUUGGAGUGGAGCACCGCCUCCUCCUUGGCUGUCUGGGGGGCGGCACGUGCGAUGCAUCUAGGUAUGGGCCAUAUUGAUGGAGGAACUGUGGACCCCAAGAUGGGCAGCCCGCCCUUGGGGUACCUGCUGGGGAAUUACUCAGAGGAAGAAACCACAGCAGGGACCCCAGGGAACAGGCUCUCCAGGGAGUGUUGUGUGAAAAUUCUCUUUUCAUUCAAAGGCCAAAGAGUCAAAUAAAAGAAAAGUCUUCUGAAAUGAGGGUCUUCCUGGGAGCACUUGGAAGCGUUUUGCAGAAAUCCAGACUGUUGUAAAGAGAAACAAGAGUAGCUAGGUGUCCAAAAAAUAAAUGUAUUCAUUAAUCCCAUGGUCUUUUCUAUUAUCCAGGUCAUUUAGUUUCAUUUUUGGGGGUAUUGUUUCUUUCUUAAGACUGGGUUCUUUGAAAUAAUAUGGAAAUGACU
Mustela erminea (ermine) is the source of this 4319-nucleotide long non-coding RNA. RefSeq lists it as uncharacterized. The record is from RefSeq and is a predicted model, not a curated record. The transcript has 3 exons. Lineage: Eukaryota; Metazoa; Chordata; Mammalia; Carnivora; Mustelidae.